This 1091-nucleotide transfer RNA is filed under the name Macaca mulatta (Rhesus monkey). RNAcentral's name for it is "lncRNA (ENSMMUG00000054686.1)". The record is from RNAcentral. Lineage: Eukaryota; Metazoa; Chordata; Mammalia; Primates; Cercopithecidae.
AUGUCACAGGAGUCCCAUCAAUAUCAUGUCCGCAUGAAGAAAAACAUAAUCACGCUACAAGGGCGAUUGUCACAGCUCUGGCUCCCCAGCGCCAUGGCCCGUGGUCUCGGCUCCUCAAGUUCCGCUGCCAUUUCUACCAAAGCCGCUGACACCCGUGGAGCCCAAUCACGGAUCCCGCGCUCCAAGGGUCUGGCAGGCCUUGGAAAAGCCAGUGCGCUUGCUGGCAUGAGUGGCUCUGGCACGUGGCCCAAACGCUGGGCGCAGAUCCCCCGCAGCCGAGAGAGAAGUGGCCCGUCAGCCACCCGGCUUGGCUUGGCGGAAGCCGCUCUGCUCGGGAGUCCUGGCCCAUUCCGUGGCCAGACGAGGGUGCGAGGUGGGCGGCGGCGGCGGCGGCGGCGGUAGUGGCCGCGGUCACCUGGCGGCCAUGGGAGGAGAAAGCCUGACCCGGCCGGUGGGCCUUGCCACUGAGAAAGAGUGGGAGGGAGGCGAGCACCUGACAAGGAAGAACUGUGACGCGGAUGUUGCGAAGGUGGCGCCAGCGAGGCCAAAAGGACGGAGGGGUGGAGGUAGGCGGGGAGGUGGGGGCGCACGUGGAGGCCGCCGGAGGUUGUGGCUGGGGCGCCUGAGAAGCGAGGGAGCCUGUUGGUCAAAAGGGGAGGUGUGAAGGGGCCUGGCAGUUGGCAGGCAGAGCCAAAGAAGGAAGGCUUCCCUGACCGGGAAUCGAACCCGGGCCGCGGCGGUGAGAGCGCCGAAUCCUAACCACUAGACCACCAGGGAGAGACGGCCUUCAGGGCCCGGCUUGCGCCUCCUGGCCCCAGCGCCUGUGGCCCCAGCAUUGGGCGCUACCUUGGCGCCUGUCCCCUGCUUCCCUUUAAAACAAACACCCGCAACCAGCCCCGGAGACGCGGGCGGCAACCCGCCCGCCCCAACCAGCAGCUCUGGCCCUGUUCGCAGCACACCCUCCAAACACCGCGCCCCUCCUUCCCGGGCGCACACGCACGCAGCCCCUGGCCAAGCUCCGACACGAGCCCCGCGCCCGGGACCUCCGCAAAAGGUCGGCCCGCUGCGUUGGCCGGGAAUCGAACCCGGGU